GAUCAUGGCUCAGGAUGAACGCUAGCGACAGGCUUAACACAUGCAAGUCGAGGGGCAGCACGGUGUAGCAAUACACUGGUGGCGACCGGCGCACGGGUGAGUAACACGUGUGCAACCAACCCCGUACCGGGAGAUAACCCGCGGAAACGUGGACUAACAUCCCAUAAUACUGGAGGAUCGCAUGAUCUUUCAUUUAAAAUUCCGGUGGUACGGGACGGGCACGCGCGACAUUAGGUAGUUGGCGGGGUAAUCGG
Molecule: ribosomal RNA, 254 nt
Filed under: uncultured bacterium
Lineage: Bacteria
Description: partial 16S ribosomal RNA
Rfam family: Bacterial small subunit ribosomal RNA
Source: RNAcentral